This 702-nucleotide long non-coding RNA is filed under the name Marmota monax (woodchuck). The record is from RNAcentral. Lineage: Eukaryota; Metazoa; Chordata; Mammalia; Rodentia; Sciuridae.
UUGAACGAUUAUAGGUGCCAGAUAUGCAGUAAAUGCUCUGGCAAUUAUGAAAUGUAAGAUUAAUUUUGCUUCUUAUGGGACCAACUGGCCUCUCAGGGUAUUUUUGAAAAUCAUUCUUCUGGUCCUAAGCAUCUCAUCUGAAGUAUCUUUAGUAUCUAACAACUCUUUCCAGGUGAGUGUAUCUGGGCUCUAAGAGCCACAGGCUUUUUAUUUUUUUUAACAGAAAGACCCACAUUGCCACCUAGUGGUGAGAGGGACAAACUCAUCUGAUGCCCCUUGUUCCUGGCUGCCUCUGCCCCACCUGAGAUGAGUUGGUACCAGUUCCACACCUGGUUAUAGCAAUAUCGAAGCAAGGCAUCUCAAGUGCCUGAAGGAAAUCAGGAAACAAGAAACACAUGUGUAUGGUGACAUGACUCCACAGAACUGUUACCCUGUUGCACAGUGAGUCAUUUAACAUUGGUUGAAGGUUUAUGGGUACACUUUGUCUUCUAAACCUUUUCUUGCCACCAUUCAAGGUGACUGUGCUACUUGAGUCUCUGUCCUAAAUUCUCUGCUCUUUGAAUUGCAUGCUCCAUCAACAAGGGAUCAUGCUUCCAACCAGUCCUAAGCACCUCGCCUGAAGUAUCCUUGGCAGCUAACAACUCUUUCCAGGUGAGUGCUUUAGGUACCAAAGGGUUUUUUUUUUUUUUUUUUUCCCUACAG